This 378-nucleotide ribosomal RNA is filed under the name Pinnularia borealis. RNAcentral's name for it is "eukaryotic LSU rRNA". It matches the Rfam family "Eukaryotic large subunit ribosomal RNA", at positions 85 to 516 of the family's 3401-position model. The record is from RNAcentral. Lineage: Eukaryota; Bacillariophyta; Bacillariophyceae; Sellaphorales; Pinnulariaceae.
AAGGGCGACUGAAAUGUCAAAAGCUCAGCAUGUGAAUCAGCGAUGUUGAAUUGUGGUCUUACGAUUCUUGCAACCAGUCCAUGUUUUUUGGAAUAAAAUAGCAAAGAGGGUGAAACUCCUGUUUGUCUGGACUAUCACUGAGUCGAGUUGUUUGGGAUUGCAGCUCAAAUGCGGUGGUAAAUUCCAUCUCAAGCUAAAUACUGGCAGGAAACCGAUAUCGAAAAAGUACCGUGAGGGAAAGAUGAAAAGAACUUUGAAAAGAGAGUGAAAGAGUACCUGAAAUUGCUGAAAAGGAAGCGAACGAAGCUAGUGAUGCUGCGUCAUACUUUCCACAUUGCUUGCAAUUUGGACGCUGUGGCCGGCCGAGUCCGACUUGAU